AUGGCGCCUUCACCAAUUAGCAGUGCAGCUGUGUUGGCCGGGAUGGUGGUCCUCGUGCUGCUGGGGUUGGGCUACCCAGCGGAGGCGACGACGUCAUGCAAGGAUUGUUCGGCGCAGUGCAACUCAACAUGCAGCGCUGCCAAUUUCGCCGGGGCGGGGACGUGCCGCACGGACUGCAGCCCGGCGCCGGCUUGCUUGGGCUGCCUUGGCAGCCUCCCCAUCUACCAAGCCAAGUGCAUUGUGGGAUGCUCAAGUGCGUGCAAAGUCCAAAGAGGUGCUUCAUAUGACUGUGAAAGCUUUUGCAAAGACUACUGCAGCGACCGAAGCGGCUUGUGCAGCAGCGUCUGCGCUGAGUCGCCGGCGUGUAGGGCAUGCAAGGAAAACUAUUCUGGUGGGUGCAAAUCCUGCUGCACCUCUUACUGCAAAUGCCACUGCGUCUAA
Molecule: ribosomal RNA, 441 nt
Filed under: Triticum aestivum (bread wheat)
Lineage: Eukaryota; Viridiplantae; Streptophyta; Magnoliopsida; Poales; Poaceae
Description: partial small subunit ribosomal RNA
Source: RNAcentral